UGGCUAGCCCUUGAAUAUACGCUUUAUACAUCAACCAUUUUAAUUUCAACUACUUUGAGAGGUAAGGAUUCGUAUUUGCCAAUAAUCAGAGAAUCCAAAGGAAGGACUCAUCCCAAAUUCUUGUGCACUCCGAUCCUGACUGGCGAGCGAGACCACUAAUUUCAGACUUCCAUAAAGGGAAGUGGUUCGAAGCCAUCUCAUCAAUCGUGUUAUUAUGCAUAAAGACCAUUUUCAAACUUCUUAAAUGGAUCGUUUGGAACACAAGAGGUUCUCUGCGAACACGCCGUACUCCGUAUCGCAAUGGAGAACACACUAGAAUGCUCAAGAACGCCGAGUCCUGAACUCUACCAUCCCCAUCAUCACUACCGUCCGUUCCCAAGCUUAUCGAGUUUCAAGUUGUGCGUAAGAUACAGCGAAAAUAGGACAGAGGAAAAGUUCUCAAUAAGGCCCUGGAGGAUUGGGGCCUCCUUUGGGCACCAGAUCAGCAAAGAGUUCCUAAUCCCCUGCCUGCCUGCCUGCCUGCCUGUCUGUCUGUCUGUAGGUAACCCUCACCUUCGUCAUGUGUAACAGCAGUAAGCGUUCCCUGGCUGAAUGGCCUCAGGCCCAGGAUAGAGAAAAAAUCAGGGGCUUUUUCAAUCUUCGUCGCCUUCAUCGGACUUAAAUCUCGCGCAUGCGGACUGUAAAGCUCGUCGGAUCUUAAUACUUUUCUUUGGCGGUUUUCACAACUCGAUUGGAUACACAUGCUCCACUUGAAGAACGACUCGUUUUCCUUCUUGAAGGGAUGUCGAGGGGUAGGUAGUGAGUCCACACGGGAGCCUCUCUCUUUUCUCUCCCACAUCAUUUUUUACCAAUUUCUCCGCCAUCGGAAAUUUCGUGGUUUUCCGAUCACCCAAAAACGGAGCUCCUUUGGACUCCCAUCCCAAGCACUUGAGAUCCAUUCUCCAAUAUACAUUUCAACAAUCUGCAUAUUAUCGAUUUCGUUUAUUUAGCAUAAAUUUGACCUGUCAUCCUUUUGUAGUGGGAGCGAACUUUUUUGCUCUAAGAUGUGAAAUCAACGAUUGGCAAACCACAAUCGACACUGAAGUGAAUAAAUCUUUGCUAACUUUCCGUUUUGUUAUCCUUGUGUUUGCUCUCGAUUGAUCAAAUUGUUUUGUUUGUUUCCAAGUCAGAUCAGGGCUGGAAAAGAGGAUGUCCGCAAAUCCAUAUCAAGCAUGCAUUAACUUGCGACACACAUUCGGCUAAACAUGAUAGAAUCUCCUACCCACGUUUCUGGAGUGCUUUGCUUAGAUUCCGCGAACCCGUGAUUGGAACUCAUUCAUUCCUCUGUGACGAUUAGUUCCAUCUAAAAACAACCUCAAGAUGUAAAGUACUGCCCUUGAUUGUUUUCGUUCCUGGUGUAACCAGGUCUUUAAAGGUGAACAAUCAAAAUGAACGGAUCGCGUUUCCCGCCCUCAAGAGUGAGCUUUCCUUUUUUUUACCCCACCGGGGGAAAGUCAUCCCUCACUCUAGGCGUACCAUCGAGCAUGUACUAAAAGCAUAUCUGUAGAGAAAGUGAAGACAAGUUGGAAACUAGGUAAAAGCAUGGCAGCUGACCCUCCUUUCUCCCUUAAGCCUUCAUCACACGACGUUAAAUGUGGCAGGCAAGUUGUGGUCCAUCCUUGGAGUAAAGUCUUAGAACAUUUAGAAGGAUCCCCACCAUCACGCAUUUACUGAGCCGCUACAUUAAAGCCUUCCCGUUUAGUUAUGUCUGCCCAACAGAGAAUGAAAGUGGCGAAUGAAAAAGCCAGCAAAAACAUCACUCAACGGGGAAACGUCAUUCGAUCGGUGAAACAACAAGAAGAGAAGUAUCCGGUGGGGCCGUGGCUACUCGGAUUAUUUGUGUUCGUGGUCUGUGGAUCGGCAAUAUUCCAACUGAUCCAAUCGAUAUGGAUGUCAAAGAUGUGAAGCUCCUUUGACUCAACCACAUGCACCCCCUCCCAUUUCCUACUAAAAAAUCCGCACUGAACGUGGGUUUUGCGUACAAACCGUAGAAGAAGAAUGAUCGGAUCGCUAUCAAAAGAUGGGGACAUCGUCAAUGAUGAUGUGUCAUCGGGUUGUCCACAAGUCCAAUGCUCGGAAUUCAAAUUCGGGCACCUUCAUAACCUCACUGCGAAGACUUCUCUUCCUCCGAGAUUCCUUCCAGGUUAAUCAGUCAGUAUAUUUCUAGAAAACCAUUACGGAAAAUGUAUAUCUUCGAGAACUCAAUUCAAUUUCGUAGAUUCUUUUUAUGACUUUGUUACAUGACACAUUCUCUCACACACAAGCUGAUAAUGAAUGCAAUAAAAUUGCGCAAGAUA
Molecule: long non-coding RNA, 2336 nt
Organism: Tigriopus californicus
Lineage: Eukaryota; Metazoa; Arthropoda; Copepoda; Harpacticoida; Harpacticidae
Exons: 2
Source: RefSeq, a predicted model, not a curated record